CUACCGCGGCUGAGAAGCGACGGGACAGGGCGGCAGAAGUCAGCAGAUGCCGUAGUAGCCGGGACCAUCUGGUGAAGGGU
Molecule: non-coding RNA, 80 nt
Filed under: Brucella pecoris
Lineage: Bacteria; Pseudomonadati; Pseudomonadota; Alphaproteobacteria; Hyphomicrobiales; Brucellaceae
Source: RNAcentral